RNAcentral lists this ribosomal RNA (447 nucleotides) under uncultured bacterium. RNAcentral's name for it is "bacterial SSU rRNA". It matches the Rfam family "Bacterial small subunit ribosomal RNA", at positions 29 to 507 of the family's 1533-position model. The record is from RNAcentral.
AAUCAACGCUGGCGGCGCGCUUAACACAUGCAAGUCGCACGAGAAAGGGGAGCAAUCCCUGAGUACAGUGGCGCACGGGUGAGUAACACGUGGGUAAUCCACCCUUUAGUGGGGAAUAACCCUGGGAAACCGGGGCUAAUACCGCAUAAGCCUGAGAAGGGAAAGCAGCAAUGCGCUGAAGGAGGAGCUCGCGGCCGAUUAGCUAGUUGGUGAGGUAACGGCUCACCAAGGCGACGAUCGGUAGCCGGCCUGAGAGGGCACACGGCCACACUGGCACUGAAACACGGGCCAGACUCCUACGGGAGGCAGCAGUGGGGAAUCUUGCACAAUGGGGGAAACCCUGAUGCAGCGACGCCGCGUGAGCGAUGAAGCCCUUCGGGGUGUAAAGCUCUUUCGACGGGAACGAUAAUGACGGUACCGGAAGAAGAAGCCCCGGCUAACUUCGUG